Molecule: ribosomal RNA, 433 nt
Filed under: Blastocystis sp.
Lineage: Eukaryota; Bigyra; Opalinata; Blastocystidae
Description: SSU rRNA
Source: RNAcentral
UGCAUGUGUAAGUAUAAAUAAUUUUACUUUGAAACUGCGAAUGGCUCAUUAUAUCAGUUAUAGUUUAUUAGAAAUAYUUUACUACUUGGAUAACCGUAGUAAUUCUAGGGCUAAUACAUGAVUAAWUCCUCAACUUCGGAAGAGGUGUGUUUAUUAGUAUGAAAACCAUAUAUCUUCGGAUAUAAUAGUGAGUAAUAAUAACCUUUCRUAUCGUAUGUCGUAAGAUAACGAUAGUUCUUUCAAGUUUCUGCCCUAUCAGCUUUCGAUGGUAGUAUAUGGGACUACCAUGGCAGUAACGGGUAACGAAGAAUUUGGGUUCGAUUUCGGAGAGGGAGCCUGAGAGAUGGCUACCACAUCCAAGGAAGGCAGCAGGCGCGUAAAUUACCCAAUCCUGACAUAGGGAGGUAGUGACAAUAAAUCACAAUGCGGAACU